RNAcentral lists this small nucleolar RNA (185 nucleotides) under Hordeum vulgare subsp. vulgare (domesticated barley). Its description in RNAcentral is "Small nucleolar RNA Z112". It matches the Rfam family "Small nucleolar RNA Z112". From Rfam's summary of the family: Z112 is a member of the C/D class of snoRNA which contain the C (UGAUGA) and D (CUGA) box motifs. The record is from Rfam by way of RNAcentral. Lineage: Eukaryota; Viridiplantae; Streptophyta; Magnoliopsida; Poales; Poaceae.
GUCUCAGUGAAGAGCUCUAGACCAUAGGAAGUGCCGUAUGACACUGUAAACAGCAGCUGCUUCUCUGCCUGCUGCAAGUGCCCAUUCUCUUAUAAUAACCUCUGUGGUUUUAUCUGGAUGGAAUUACCCAUUUGUACCAGCUUGAUUCAGCUGUGUGCUUGAUUUUAAACGGGUCUCUGAGGGAU